RNAcentral lists this ribosomal RNA (1375 nucleotides) under Salmonella enterica subsp. enterica serovar Agona. Its description in RNAcentral is "partial 23S ribosomal RNA". It matches the Rfam family "Bacterial large subunit ribosomal RNA", at positions 1577 to 2925 of the family's 2925-position model. RNAcentral also lists the same sequence under 1 other name. Lineage: Bacteria; Pseudomonadati; Pseudomonadota; Gammaproteobacteria; Enterobacterales; Enterobacteriaceae. The record is from RNAcentral.
CUACGGUGCUGAAGCAACAAAUGCCCUGCUUCCAGGAAAAGCCUCUAAGCAUCAGGUAACAUCAAAUCGUACCCCAAACCGACACAGGUGGUCAGGUAGAGAAUACCAAGGCGCUUGAGAGAACUCGGGUGAAGGAACUAGGCAAAAUGGUGCCGUAACUUCGGGAGAAGGCACGCUGACACGUAGGUGAAGUGAUUUACUCAUGGAGCUGAAGUCAGUCGAAGAUACCAGCUGGCUGCAACUGUUUAUUAAAAACACAGCACUGUGCAAACACGAAAGUGGACGUAUACGGUGUGACGCCUGCCCGGUGCCGGAAGGUUAAUUGAUGGGGUCAGCGCAAGCGAAGCUCCUGAUCGAAGCCCCGGUAAACGGCGGCCGUAACUAUAACGGUCCUAAGGUAGCGAAAUUCCUUGUCGGGUAAGUUCCGACCUGCACGAAUGGCGUAAUGAUGGCCAGGCUGUCUCCACCCGAGACUCAGUGAAAUUGAACUCGCUGUGAAGAUGCAGUGUACCCGCGGCAAGACGGAAAGACCCCGUGAACCUUUACUAUAGCUUGACACUGAACAUUGAGCCUUGAUGUGUAGGAUAGGUGGGAGGCUUUGAAGUGUGGACGCCAGUCUGCAUGGAGCCGACCUUGAAAUACCACCCUUUAAUGUUUGAUGUUCUAACGUGGACCCGUAAUCCGGGUUGCGGACAGUGUCUGGUGGGUAGUUUGACUGGGGCGGUCUCCUCCUAAAGAGUAACGGAGGAGCACGAAGGUUGGCUAAUCCUGGUCGGACAUCAGGAGGUUAGUGCAAUGGCAUAAGCCAGCUUGACUGCGAGCGUGACGGCGCGAGCAGGUGCGAAAGCAGGUCAUAGUGAUCCGGUGGUUCUGAAUGGAAGGGCCAUCGCUCAACGGAUAAAAGGUACUCCGGGGAUAACAGGCUGAUACCGCCCAAGAGUUCAUAUCGACGGCGGUGUUUGGCACCUCGAUGUCGGCUCAUCACAUCCUGGGGCUGAAGUAGGUCCCAAGGGUAUGGCUGUUCGCCAUUUAAAGUGGUACGCGAGCUGGGUUUAGAACGUCGUGAGACAGUUCGGUCCCUAUCUGCCGUGGGCGCUGGAGAACUGAGGGGGGCUGCUCCUAGUACGAGAGGACCGGAGUGGACGCAUCACUGGUGUUCGGGUUGUCAUGCCAAUGGCACUGCCCGGUAGCUAAAUGCGGAAGAGAUAAGUGCUGAAAGCAUCUAAGCACGAAACUUGCCCCGAGAUGAGUUCUCCCUGAGACUUAGAGUCUCCUGAAGGAACGUUGAAGACGACGACGUUGAUAGGCCGGGUGUGUAAGCGCAGCGAUGCGUUGAGCUAACCGGUACUAAUGAACCGUGAGGCUUAACCUUACA